CCAAUAGCGCACAUUCAACCUUUUUGCAGUUAAAAAGCUCGUAGUUGAAAUGAAGGGUAGUUGUGUAAUGAAUACAUUCGCGUAUUUUGUUAUUCUACUACCCUCCUUCUAAAUUCGAUAUAUGAGUAUUAAUUUACUUGUAUAUGGUUUUAGACUUUUACUGUGAGAAAAUUAGAGUGUUCAAAGCAGGCAUUUGCUUGAAUAUAUUAGCAUGGAAUAAUCAUGUAUGAUUUUCAUGAUGUAUUUGAUUGGUUUGGUUCAUGAGAAUAAGAUUAAAAGGGACAGUUGGGGGUAUUCAUAUUCAAUAGUCAGAGGUGAAAUUCUCGGAUUUAUGGAAGAUGAACAAGUGCGAAAGCAUCUACCAAGGAUGUUUUCAUUAAUCAAGAACGAAAGUUAGGGGAUCGAAGAGGAUUAGAUACCCUCGCAGUCUUAAAUAUA
This 438-nucleotide ribosomal RNA is filed under the name Blastocystis hominis. RNAcentral's name for it is "bacterial SSU rRNA". It matches the Rfam family "Eukaryotic small subunit ribosomal RNA", at positions 591 to 1034 of the family's 1831-position model. The record is from RNAcentral. Lineage: Eukaryota; Bigyra; Opalinata; Blastocystidae.